UCAGCCGGAUGACUGGGUCGAGCUUUGAUGGCUAGAUUAAAAUAAAGAAAGGUCAUUCAGAAGCCAAGUUCCACACAGGACUAGACUUUGUAAUUUUAAUCUAAAUCCACCCAAAAGUCGAGAGGUUAACGCAGGCCACAGCCCUGCAGGCAAAAACACAGACGGGAAAUGUAUUCAUUAUCAUGCACCAGAGGUUGAUUGUUACAUCAUACCUCAGGCAAGCUGAGCAAACGGGUCAGCUGCACAGCUGCUCUCGCCCGGCCCGGUCUAAAGACCUGAUGGAAAACCAUGUGUUGAUGGAUGUGGAGAGACACAUUUUCUGCAUUCAGUCAAGUGUGGUGGAGCCCUGUUCUGUCUAACCCGCUCUCUCCCCCACCCUCACCCACUCUGAAAUCUUCUGACAGCACGGUACGGUGGGUCGAGCCUCGCACGAGUAUUUUGUAGAAAGCGACGUCUCUGUUAACCGAGGAGAGGAUUAGAAUGAAAGGUCAGAUUAGGGAGAUAAUCUGUCAGUUGAGGCUGCACCAGUGAGUCACUGACAAAUGUUUUAGGGCAGGGAGCCCACAAGACUGACUCAUGUUCUGCAUCACAUGAUCCUUAUCUAUGUCAUAAUCUUUGACCGUUCACGCAACAGACGUGUAAGAGUAGCUAGAAAGUUUGUUUUUCCCACUUUACAUUGUCCGACAACUCGUGACACGGAGCAUGCCGUUUCACGAGUCACAUGAAUAUCUGCCUUGUUUAACAACAUCCUUCCUCUCUUGAGCCUUGCACUCACUAACUUUGUUUUCCUCGCUUCGACAAUUUGGCUGCCAGUUGUUAACCUUGCAGCAAAUUAGAUCUAACUGGUGGGAAGUGGCCACGGUUCUCUGGACGUCUCGCACAGGAACAGGGGCAUCGCAAGAAAAUAGCUCCCAAGCGAGGAGGAGAGCAGGAGCUGUCUCACACCAGAACCUUUCCUCUGCUGAAGUCCAGAAUGGCCUCGUGUAUCUGGUGCAUCGUCUGGCUGCUGAUUCUGCUGUGCUUUGGCUGGCCACUCAGCAUCACCUUAGGUGGUCUCUAUGGCCUCAUUACCCCGCUCACCACCUGCCUGGGCCUGGACCGGCUCUCUGAUCUGCUUCUGGAAGGAGCCAACCUGGGCCGAACCUGUGCCAAUAACAUGAAACAUGGCAAGCCGCUGUGUUAACAUCUGCCCCGAGUGACCGGGAGCGAGCGACGCACGACGGCCAAAGGCAAGAUGGGUUCUUUUUCUACACAGGAAAUGCUUCACUUUGUGGAGAACUGUUCACGUCUGUUAGUUUGUUUGUGUGGAAACCUCCUGAGGUCGUUGGCAAUCACUGAGAAUUUAUGUAACAUAAAGGUCUGGAAAAUGGAUUCCUCUCUUCUGUUAACAUGUAAUUAACCGUGGAUUUCACAUUUUUUAUGGCUUUGUUUGGAGGGAAAUAGGUUCGCGUCAUUUGCGAUGACCCUGCGCGGAGAAGAUAAGAACGGAAAUCGCAGUUUAACAAUGAAAAUGCUUAGACUUGUAAAUGACUGUAUGGGAACUUAUAAUGCGAUUAAACCUGCUUUGAACUUGC
Molecule: long non-coding RNA, 1574 nt
Organism: Solea senegalensis (Senegalese sole)
Lineage: Eukaryota; Metazoa; Chordata; Actinopteri; Pleuronectiformes; Soleidae
Exons: 2
Source: RefSeq, a predicted model, not a curated record